Molecule: ribosomal RNA, 300 nt
Filed under: Antedon mediterranea
Lineage: Eukaryota; Metazoa; Echinodermata; Crinoidea; Comatulida; Antedonidae
Description: partial 16S ribosomal RNA
Rfam family: Bacterial large subunit ribosomal RNA
Source: RNAcentral
AAUAAAAAUAUUUUUGGUUGGGGCAACCGCGAAGAAAAAACAACCUUCGAUAAACAAAAAAAUUAACAAAUUUAAAAUUUUUAAAAAAAGAUCCAGAAAUACUGAUCAAAGAAAAAAGUUACCGCAGGGAUAACAGCGUUAUUCUCUUUGAGAGUUCUUAUUGACAAGAGAGUUUGCGACCUCGAUGUUGGACCGGGGCACCUAAGAGGAGCAAAAACCUCUAAAAGUAGGUCUGUUCGACCUUUAAAGCCCUACGCGAUCUGAGUUCAGACCGACGCAAGUCAGGUCAGUUUCUAUCUA